This 489-nucleotide ribosomal RNA is filed under the name uncultured bacterium. Its description in RNAcentral is "bacterial SSU rRNA". It matches the Rfam family "Bacterial small subunit ribosomal RNA", at positions 501 to 989 of the family's 1533-position model. The record is from RNAcentral.
CUACGUGCCAGCAGCCGCGGUAAUACGUAGGGCGCGAGCGUUGUCCGGAAUUAUUGGGCGUAAAGGGCUUGUAGGCGGUUGGUCGCGUCUGCCGUGAAAUUCUCUGGCUUAACUGGGGGCGUGCGGUGGGUACGGGCUGACUUGAGUGCGGUAGGGGAGACUGGAACUCCUGGUGUAGCGGUGGAAUGCGCAGAUAUCAGGAAGAACACCGGUGGCGAAGGCGGGUCUCUGGGCCGUUACUGACGCUGAGGAGCGAAAGCGUGGGGAGCGAACAGGAUUAGAUACCCUGGUAGUCCACGCUGUAAACGUUGGGCACUAGGUGUGGGGCCACCCGUGGUUUCUGCGCCGUAGCUAACGCUUUAAGUGCCCCGCCUGGGGAGUACGGCCGCAAGGCUAAAACUCAAAGGAAUUGACGGGGGCCCGCACAAGCGGCGGAGCAUGCGGAUUAAUUCGAUGCAACGCGAAGAACCUUACCAAGGCUUGACAUGC